This 229-nucleotide long non-coding RNA is filed under the name Nicotiana benthamiana. RNAcentral describes it as "long non-coding RNA (NBEN_LNC015283)". The record is from RNAcentral. Lineage: Eukaryota; Viridiplantae; Streptophyta; Magnoliopsida; Solanales; Solanaceae.
AUUUACACAAACAGCAUCAGUACAAAAAGCUGCCCAGCAGCAUUACAUAAACAGUAUGCUUCUUUACAAAAUUAUGACCCCCAAAAAUUUACAGACACUGUCAAAAUGCAGUAAUUACAAGCCCACAAGACAUCCCAGACCACACAUCAUUUGUUUCUCUUCCUUGGCACCAACUUCUCUAUUCUUUGCCUACUUUGUGUUUGUAAUUGUUUUCUAGUAGUAGCAGCUU